Molecule: unclassified non-coding RNA, 243 nt
Filed under: uncultured fungus
Lineage: Eukaryota; Fungi
Description: partial contains 5.8S ribosomal RNA, internal transcribed spacer 2, and large subunit ribosomal RNA
Source: RNAcentral
AACGCACAUUGCGCCCGCCGGCACCCCGGCGGGCAUGCCCGUCCGAGCGUCGUCUCCACCCGUCAAGCCCAGCUUGCGCUGGGGCCCCGCGGCCGCCGCGGGCCCCGAAAGACAGCGGCGGGACCGCCGCCGCGCCGAGCGCAGUAACGCGCCUCGCUCCGGCGCGGCGGCGGCCUCCGGCCCACAGAGCCGCGACCCAGCACCGUCGACCUCGGAUCGGGUAGGAAUACCCGCUGAACUUAA